Molecule: ribosomal RNA, 490 nt
Filed under: uncultured bacterium
Lineage: Bacteria
Description: partial 16S ribosomal RNA
Rfam family: Bacterial small subunit ribosomal RNA
Source: RNAcentral
AUUGAACGCUGGCGGCAGGCCUAACACAUGCAAGUCGAACGGUAACAGGAAGAAGCUUGCUUCUUUGCUGACGAGUGGCGGACGGGUGAGUAAUGUCUGGGAAACUGCCUGAUGGAGGGGGAUAACUACUGGAAACGGUAGCUAAUACCGCAUAACGUCGCAAGACCAAAGAGGGGGACCUUCGGGCCUCUUGCCAUCGGAUGUGCCCAGAUGGGAUUAGCUUGUUGGUGGGGUAACGGCUCACCAAGGCGACGAUCCCUAGCUGGUCUGAGAGGAUGACCAGCCACACAGGAACUGAGACACGGUCCAGACUCCUACGGGAGGCAGCAGUGGGGAAUAUUGCACAAUGGGCGCAAGCCUGAUGCAGCCAUGCCGCGUGUAUGAAGAAGGCCUUCGGGUUGUAAAGUACUUUCAGCGGGGAGGAAGGGAGUAAAGUUAAUACCUUUGCUCAUUGACGUUACCCGCAGAAGAAGCACCGGCUAACUCCGUG